RNAcentral lists this ribosomal RNA (266 nucleotides) under uncultured bacterium. RNAcentral's name for it is "partial 16S ribosomal RNA". The record is from RNAcentral.
CUGCUGCCUCCCGUAGGAGUCUGGUCCGUGUCUCAGUACCAGUGUGGGGGACCUUCCUCUCAGAACCCCUACGCAUCGUCGCCUCGGUGGGCCGUUACCCCGCCGACUAGCUAAUGCGACGCAUGGCCAUCCUAUGCCGGAGUCGCCUCCUUUGACCCCAAGAAGAUGUCUCCUAAAGGUGUUAUGCGGUAUUAGACGGAAUUUCUUCCGCUUAUCCCCCUGCAUAGGGCAGGUUCCAUACGUGUUACUCACCCGUGCGCCGGUCG